CUCUUUCGGUAAAGUCACGUUGAAGGGAAACAAUAAAAUAAUAAAAUAUAUAUAAAACAACAAAAAUUCUCACGUUGUUACGACCAUAUCACAAACGGUCAUUAUGAUUUUAUUGUUUCCCUUCAACGUGACUUUACCGAAAGAGCUAAGAAUAUGAAUUGCUGCAGUCACGAAAGCUUUAAAUCCUUGAUAGGUUAUUUGAUAGGUUAUUUGAUAGGUUCCUUGAUAGGUUAUUUGAUAGGUUAUUUGAUAGGUUCCUUGAUAGGUUCCUUG
This is a non-coding RNA of Petromyzon marinus (sea lamprey), 273 nucleotides long. Lineage: Eukaryota; Metazoa; Chordata; Hyperoartia; Petromyzontiformes; Petromyzontidae. The record is from RefSeq and is a predicted model, not a curated record.